GCGUUGGGAUUACAGGUGUGAGCCACUGCACCCGGCCAAGUGUUUUUUUGUAAAAGUAAUGGGAAUGUCAUCAUUUUGAAAUCCCAAAAAAGUAAAGGUUUUGAUACUGAGCAUCAACAUCUGCUAAUAAAAAGAGAAAUAACUAGAUAUCACAUACCUCUUAAUAAAGAACUCACACCAGAGAAGUAGUUUUGCCACAGAAAUUGAACCUGAAUCUGAUGAAGGAAUGAUUCACAGGAUAAACCAAAAAAGAGGAACAUGAGAAUAUAGUCUGCAGUAUCUAGAUAGUGUAGGACAGUGGAUUUGGUGUCGAACAAAUAAUUGCAAGAAAAAGAAGGGAUAGAGGGGAUAACAUUAAUGUGCUCUUAAAAAUAAAAUAAACUUGUGAAACUAAACUACCAACAAAAUAAGGAAGCAAUAAGUUCAAGAGAUAUGUAUUACGUGGUGACUUGUUAAUAACUCUGUAUGCCUGAAAAUUGCCAAAUAGCUUUUAAGUGUUCUCACUACAAAUAAAAUGAUAUUGUGAGGUAAUGCAUACAUUAACUAGCUUGAUCUAGUCAUUCUACACUGAAUUUAUAUUUUAAAACAAACAUCAUUUUGUGUGCCACAUAUACAAUUUUUACUUGUCAAUUAAAUUUUUUUUUAUUUAAAGUCAGAUUAAUAGUUAUUUUUGGGAAAGAAGAGAAUUAUUAUUGGAAAAGGCAUGCAUAGCUCUCUUGGGGUAGCUGCUAAAUUUCUUUUUCAUUUUUGCCUUCUACUGUAUUAAGCUAUGCAUUUGUUUUGUGUGGUUUUCUUUACUAUACUAAGUCAUUAAAAAUUCUUGAUACCUUUGUCAAGCAAGUAACAUGAAAUAUUGAAGUAAUAAAAAGAUAAAUAACCAGAUAUUACAUGCUUCUUAAUAAAGAACUCACCAACACCAAAGAAGUAGGUGUUGAGGAUCACCAGAGAGGUGAUCCUCCCACCUCAGCCUCUUGUAUAGCUGGAACUACAUGAAAUUUCAUGUUACUUAUUUGACAAAGGUAUCAAGAAUUUGAUAUAAAGAAUCAUCACUGGUCAGGUGCAGUGGCUAAUGCCUAUAAUCCCAGCCCUUUGAGAUUAGCCUGGCAUAAUGGUGCUUGCUUAUAGUCCCAGCUACUCAGAAGGCUUAGGGAGAGGGUCACUUGAGCCCAAGAGUUUGAGAUUAUAGUGAGAUAUGAUCAUACCAGUGAACUCCAGCCUGGAUGACAGAGCAAAACAUUGUCUCU
Long non-coding RNA from Sapajus apella (tufted capuchin), 1244 nucleotides. RefSeq lists it as uncharacterized. The record is from RefSeq and is a predicted model, not a curated record. The transcript is spliced from 2 exons. Lineage: Eukaryota; Metazoa; Chordata; Mammalia; Primates; Cebidae.